RNAcentral lists this transfer RNA (72 nucleotides) under Nippostrongylus brasiliensis. It matches the Rfam family "tRNA". From Rfam's summary of the family: Transfer RNA (tRNA) molecules are approximately 80 nucleotides in length. The record is from Rfam by way of RNAcentral. Lineage: Eukaryota; Metazoa; Nematoda; Chromadorea; Rhabditida; Heligmosomidae.
ACAUCGGUACCACAGUGGUCAGGACAGUCUGCCAGGAACAGAAAGACGCGGGUUCAAUUCCCGUCCGAUGUC